This 492-nucleotide ribosomal RNA is filed under the name uncultured bacterium. Its description in RNAcentral is "partial 16S ribosomal RNA". It matches the Rfam family "Bacterial small subunit ribosomal RNA", at positions 29 to 507 of the family's 1533-position model. The record is from RNAcentral.
AGUGAACGCUGGCGGUAGGCCUAACACAUGCAAGUCGAACGGCAGCACAGUAAGAGCUUGCUCUUACGGGUGGCGAGUGGCGGACGGGUGAGGAAUACAUCGGAAUCUACUUUUUCGUGGGGGAUAACGUAGGGAAACUUACGCUAAUACCGCAUACGACCUACGGGUGAAAGCAGGGGAUCUUCGGACCUUGCGCGAUUGAAUGAGCCGAUGUCGGAUUAGCUAGUUGGCGGGGUAAAGGCCCACCAAGGCGACGAUCCGUAGCUGGUCUGAGAGGAUGAUCCGCCACACUGGAACUGAGACACGGUCCAGACUCCUACGGGAGGCAGCAGUGGGGAAUAUUGGACGAUGGGCGCAAGCCUGAUCCAGCCAUACCGCGUGGGUGAAGAAGGCCUUCGGGUUGUAAAGCCCUUUUGUUGGGAAAGAAAAGCAGCAGGUUAAUACCCCGCUGUUCUGACGGUACCCAAAGAAUAAGCACCGGCUAACUUCGUG